AAGGAAUUAGUUAAAUUAUAAUAUUAAUUUGUCAAGUUAAAGUCAUCUUAUUUUAGAUAUUCCUUA
Molecule: transfer RNA, 66 nt
Filed under: Charybdis bimaculata
Lineage: Eukaryota; Metazoa; Arthropoda; Malacostraca; Decapoda; Portunidae
Description: tRNA-Asp
Source: RNAcentral